This 253-nucleotide ribosomal RNA is filed under the name uncultured bacterium. RNAcentral's name for it is "partial 16S ribosomal RNA". It matches the Rfam family "Bacterial small subunit ribosomal RNA", at positions 524 to 776 of the family's 1533-position model. The record is from RNAcentral.
UACGGAGGGUGCAAGCGUUACUCGGAAUCACUGGGCGUAAAGGACGCGUAGGCUGUUUAGCAAGUCAGGUGUGAAAUCCUAUGGCUCAACCAUAGAACUGCACUUGAAACUGCUAGACUAGAGUAUGGGAGGGGGAGAUGGAAUUAGUGGUGUAGGGGUAAAAUCCGUAGAUAUCACUAGGAAUAUCUAAAGCGAAGGCGAUCUCCUGGAACAUUACUGACGCUAAGGCGUGAAAGCGUGGGGAGCAAACAGG